CGCCUCUUGCCUAAAAUAUAAGAGGUCCAGCCUGCCCAGUGACUCUGUUCAACGGCCGCGGUAUCCUAACCGUGCGAAGGUAGCGUAAUCACUUGUUCUUUAAAUGAGGACUAGUAUGAAUGGCACCACGAAGGUUAUACUGUCUCCUCUUUUUAAUCAGUGAAACUAAUCUCCCCGUGAAGAAGCGGGGAUAAACAUAUAAGACGAGAAGACCCUAUGGAGCUUUAAACUAUGUAACACUUGCACUAACCCCAUAAAAACUUCAGAGAAAUCCUCUUUACCCAUGCAAGACUGCUACCAGUUUUAGGUUGGGGUGACCACGGAGCAAAAAACAACCUCCACAUUGAAAGGAAUUUAUUCCUUAGCCGAGAGCCACAUCUCUACGCAUCAUUUCAAUGACAUUAAUUGACCCAAUAUAUUGAUCAACGAACCAAGUUACCCUAGGGAUAACAGCGCAAUCCACUUCAAGAGCUCCUAUCGACAAGUGGGUUUACGACCUCGAUGUUGGAUCAGGGUAUCCCGGUGGUGUAGCCGCUACCAAAGGUUCGUUUGUUCAACGAUUAAAACCCU
RNAcentral lists this ribosomal RNA (570 nucleotides) under Cochranella erminea. Its description in RNAcentral is "partial 16S ribosomal RNA". It matches the Rfam family "Bacterial large subunit ribosomal RNA", at positions 1816 to 2597 of the family's 2925-position model. Lineage: Eukaryota; Metazoa; Chordata; Amphibia; Anura; Centrolenidae. The record is from RNAcentral.